CAAUCGAACCCGGAGAUAGCUGGUUCUCCUCGAAAUAGCUUUAGGGCUAGCCUCGCAUUAGUUUACCGGAGGUAGAGCACUGAAUGGUCUAGGGGGCCUCACCGCCUACCGAAACCUAUCAAACUGCGAAUGCCGGAUAAAUGAUGUGCGGGAGUCAGGCCGCGAGAGAUAAGUUCCGCGGUCAAAAGGGGAACACCCCAGAUCGUCUGCUAAGGUCCCCAAGUACGCGUUAAGUGGGAAAGGAUGUUGGAUUGCACAGACAACCAGGAUGUUGGCUUAGAAGCAGCCACACAUUCAAAGAGUGCGUAAUAGCUCACUGGUCGAGUGAUCCAGCGCCGAAAAUGUAACGGGGCUAAAACGCGACACCGAAGCAGCGGGAUGCGUAAGCAUCGGUAGAGGAGCAUUGUGUGAGGAUAGAAGCCAGAGCGGGAGCACUGGUGGACUUCACAGAAGAGAGAAUGCCGGUAUGAGUAGCGAGACCCAUGCGAGAAACAUGGGCGUCGAAGGCCCAAGGUUUCCUGGGGAAGGUUCAUCCACCCAGGGUAAGUCGGGACCUAAGCCGAGGACUGAGGUCGUAGGCGAUGGACAGCAGGUAGAGAUUCCUGCACCACUUACACUUGUUUGACGAAGCAGUGACACAGAAGGAUAGGACGAGCGCGGUGAUGGUCAACCGCGUAGGCGACACAAGGCUGGGGAGCAGUAAAGUACACUUCCCGUGAAGGCUGAGUGCUGACAGGACCGAAAAAGAGUAGGGAAGCGUCUGAGUUCACGCUGGCGAGAAAAGCUGCUAAGGAGAGUGUGAGUGCCCGUACCGGAAACCGACGCAGGUGGGCGAGGAGAGAAUCCUGAGACGGACGGGAGAACUCUUGUUAAGGAACUCGGCAAAAUGACCCCGUAACUUCGGGAGAAGGGGUGCCUCGAAAGAGGCCGCAGAGAAUAGUCACAAGCGACUGUUUAGCAAAAACACAGGUAUCUGCGAAAGCGAGAGCUGACGUAUAGGUGCUGACGCCUGCCCGGUGCUGGAAGGUUAAGGGGAAGUGUUAGGGGAAACCCGAAGCAGAGAACCGAAGCCCCAGUAAACGGCGGCCGUAACUAUAACGGUCCUAAGGUAGCGAAAUUCCUUGUCGGGUAAGUUCCGACCCGCACGAAUGGCGUAACGACUUGUGAGCUGUCUCAACAGGAGGCCCGGUGAAAUUGAAGUAUGUGUGAAGAUGCACAUUACCCGCGACUGGACGGAAAGACCCCGUAGAGCUUUACUGUAGCCUGAUAUUGGAUUUCGGUAACGGAUGCACAGGAUAGGUGGGAGGCAAGGAAGGCAGGACUCCGGUCUUGGUGGAGCCACCGUUGGGAUACCACUCUUCUGUUGCUGGAAUUCUAACAUGGCGCCGUGAAACCGGUGAAUGGACAGUGUCAGGUGGGCAGUUUGACUGGGGCGGUCGCCUCCGAAAGAGUAACGGAGGCGCCCAAAGGUACCCUCAGAAUGGAUGGAAACCAUUCGAAGAGAGCAAAGUCAGAAGGGUGCUUGACUGCGAGACCAACAAGUCGAGCAGGUACGAAAGUAGGGCUUAGUGAUCCGGCGGUAAGAGAGUGGAAUUGCCGUCGCUCAACGGAUAAAAGCUACCUCGGGGAUAACAGGCUGAUCUCCCCCAAGAGU
This 1654-nucleotide ribosomal RNA is filed under the name human gut metagenome. Its description in RNAcentral is "bacterial LSU rRNA". It matches the Rfam family "Bacterial large subunit ribosomal RNA", at positions 830 to 2499 of the family's 2925-position model. The record is from RNAcentral.